RNAcentral lists this ribosomal RNA (255 nucleotides) under uncultured bacterium. Its description in RNAcentral is "partial 16S ribosomal RNA". It matches the Rfam family "Bacterial small subunit ribosomal RNA", at positions 524 to 776 of the family's 1533-position model. The record is from RNAcentral.
UACGUAGGGUGCAAGCGUUGUCCGGAAUUAUUGGGCGUAAAGAGCUCGUAGGCGGUUUGUCGCGUCUGCUGUGAAAUCUGGAGGCUCAACCUCCAGCCUGCAGUGGGUACGGGCAGACUAGAGUGCGGUAGGGGAGAUUGGAACUCCUGGUGUAGCGGUGGAAUGCGCAGAUAUCAGGAAGAACACCGAUGGCGAAGGCAGAUCUCUGGGCCGUGAACUGACGCUGGAGGAGCGAAAGCAUGGGGAGCGAACAGG